RNAcentral lists this ribosomal RNA (388 nucleotides) under uncultured bacterium. RNAcentral's name for it is "bacterial SSU rRNA". It matches the Rfam family "Bacterial small subunit ribosomal RNA", at positions 28 to 418 of the family's 1533-position model. The record is from RNAcentral.
GACGAACGCUGGCGGCGUGCUUAACACAUGCAAGUCGAGCGGUAAGGCCCUUUCGGGGGUACACGAGCGGCGAACGGGUGAGUAACACGUGGGUGACCUGCCCUCAGCUCUGGGAUAAGCCCGGGAAACUGGGUCUAAUACUGGAUAUGACUCCACGGUGCAUGCCGUGGGGUGAAAGCCUUGUGCGGCUGAGGAUGGGCCCGCGGCCUAUCAGCUUGUUGGUGGGGUGAUGGCCUACCAAGGCGACGACGGGUAGCCGGCCUGAGAGGGCGACCGGCCACACUGGGACUGAGACACGGCCCAGACUCCUACGGGAGGCAGCAGUGGGGAAUCUUGCGCAAUGGGCGAAAGCCUGACGCAGCGACGCCGCGUGAGGGAUGACGGCCUC